UCUUUGCCAAUGACCAAGAAAGUAGCAUUGACCUAUUCUGACAAGAGAGGGAAAGACCUAGGCUGAAAUCUUUCCUACAGUAAGUUUAUGUGAACAACACUUGAGAGGCUUUCCUUCGAACUACAUAUGUAAAAGUAGGGGGAAACGGAAUCGGCCGUUAUCCGAGAAUUGAGAGGGUGUACAUAAUUUAAACGAAAAGUACAUCAACUAGGGUGGAACCGCGGAAGUCAACAGCUUUCGUCCCUUGC
This 248-nucleotide non-coding RNA is filed under the name Ureibacillus massiliensis. RNAcentral describes it as "Lysinibacillus massiliensis T-box sequence". It matches the Rfam family "T-box leader". Rfam says of the family: Uncharged tRNA acts as the effector for transcription antitermination of genes in the T-box leader family. T-boxes are found upstream of many aminoacyl-tRNA synthetase genes and some amino acid biosynthetic genes usually in Gram-positive bacteria. The anticodon of a specific tRNA base pairs to a specifier sequence within the T-box motif, and the NCCA acceptor tail of the tRNA base pairs to a conserved bulge in the T-box antiterminator hairpin. Lineage: Bacteria; Bacillati; Bacillota; Bacilli; Caryophanales; Caryophanaceae. The record is from RNAcentral.